Molecule: long non-coding RNA, 247 nt
Filed under: Elaeis guineensis (African oil palm)
Lineage: Eukaryota; Viridiplantae; Streptophyta; Magnoliopsida; Arecales; Arecaceae
Description: long non-coding RNA (EGUI_LNC002547)
Source: RNAcentral
CCAGGAGUGAUUUAUCCGAAAUGGUAAUCCACAUCUACCAUUUGAAAUAGAUAGUCAGCGUAAUAUAUGCACAUCCAUGCACUAGAACAUUCACCUUCCAAUUCCUAUAUCGCUGUCAACAAAUAAAUAGACAUGGCCCAAAAGUUGAGAAGCGGCUGUACUCUUCUGUUUGUUUUAUCCACGUUCGGCCUGAAUGCACUAUAUAUAGAUUUAUGUGCAUGGAUGAUCGGGUGCAUGUCACUUACAU